Molecule: ribosomal RNA, 255 nt
Filed under: uncultured bacterium
Lineage: Bacteria
Description: partial 16S ribosomal RNA
Rfam family: Bacterial small subunit ribosomal RNA
Source: RNAcentral
UACGAAGGGGGCUAGCGUUGCUCGGAAUCACUGGGCGUAAAGGGUGCGUAGGCGGGUCUUUUAAGUCAGGGGUGAAAUCCUGGAGCUCAACUCCAGAACUGCCUUUGAUACUGAGGAUCUUGAGUUCGGGGAGAGGUGAGUGGAACUGCGAGUGUAGAGGUGAAAUUCGUAGAUAUUCGCAAGAACACCAGUGGCGAAGGCGGCUCACUGGCCCGAUACUGACGCUGAUGCACGAAAGCGUGGGGAGCAAACAGG